UAAGCAUAAAAAGCGCCAGAACUCAGGUGAUUUUUUAAAAUAAAAUACAUAUAAUUAUUUUAAAUGUAUAAAUUACUUUGAGUUGACGAGGAUGGGGAGUAUCGAAUCUUCGGCGGGUGCCCCACGGUAUCGCACUACCGUUAACAGCUGGUAAAACCAAAAAGUGAUUUUUGGUACAAUAUCAGCCUGGUGUUAAAA
This 198-nucleotide non-coding RNA is filed under the name Clostridium kluyveri. RNAcentral's name for it is "GlcN6P sequence". It matches the Rfam family "glmS glucosamine-6-phosphate activated ribozyme aptamer". From Rfam's summary of the family: This entry contains a glucosamine-6-phosphate activated ribozyme that is found in the mRNA for GlmS. GlmS is an enzyme that uses fructose-6-phosphate and glutamine to generate glucosamine-6-phosphate. The ribozyme catalyses self cleavage of the glmS mRNA that is thought to regulate GlmS activity. Lineage: Bacteria; Bacillati; Bacillota; Clostridia; Eubacteriales; Clostridiaceae. RNAcentral also lists the same sequence under 1 other name. The record is from RNAcentral.